Cyprinodon variegatus (sheepshead minnow) is the source of this 504-nucleotide long non-coding RNA. RefSeq lists it as uncharacterized. The record is from RefSeq and is a predicted model, not a curated record. The transcript is spliced from 3 exons. Lineage: Eukaryota; Metazoa; Chordata; Actinopteri; Cyprinodontiformes; Cyprinodontidae.
CCAAAGUGGGCAAUCCUGCAACAGCGACAACUUCAUACUGAAUAAUCUCACAGAAGAAACCGUGUUCGAUGUGAAUAUCAAAUCCAAGAAGUACGUCUUCUGUGUGAGAGCUCAGGACAAACAUGCCCGAGGGCCAUGGAGCCACUGGAGUCAGUGCAUAGUAACCAAAAACAACGUGGACUGCCACCUUCGCUAGCUGCCACAGAAAACAACUGAAGACAAAAAGCCAGAUGAAUGUAAAAAAAGAAUUCUAACGUUAAGUCCAGUGGCGUGCACAAAACAAUUGUUCAUACACCUGUGCUAAAGUGCUCUUGACAGUGGUGAGGAUGCACUAUAUGUGCCCUUUUCCUUUCUGCCUGUGCCCUUCAAAAAGUCUGUGCACGCCACUGGUUAAUUCUUAAGUGAAAAUUAAUGUAUACAUGUACAGUAUUUAUUCAUCCUUUAUUUAAGUUAUGUUUCUCGGUUUAUAGUGGGUGAAAAUUUGAAUACUGUUUACUCAUUUUU